This 249-nucleotide ribosomal RNA is filed under the name uncultured soil bacterium. RNAcentral's name for it is "partial 16S ribosomal RNA". It matches the Rfam family "Bacterial small subunit ribosomal RNA", at positions 26 to 285 of the family's 1533-position model. The record is from RNAcentral.
AGGAUGAACGCUGGCGGCGUGCUUAACACAUGCAAGUCAAGGGGGCCCAGCAAUGGGCAACCGGCGAACGGGUGCGUAACACGUGAGCAACCUACCGAAUUGUGGGGGAUAGCCGGCCCAACGGCCGGGUAAUACCGCAUACGCUCGAGACCAGGCAUUUGGACUCGAGGAAUUUACGGAGCAAUUCGAGGGGCUCGCGGCCUAUCAGCUAGUUGGUGAGGUAACGGCUCACCAAGGCGACGACGGGUA